AUUGAACGCUGGCGGCAUGCUUUACACAUGCAAGUCGAACGGCAGCGCGGGGCAACCUGGCGGCGAGUGGCGAACGGGUGAGUAAUAUAUCGGAACGUACCCAGACGUGGGGGAUAACGUAGCGAAAGUUACGCUAAUACCGCAUACGAUCUACGGAUGAAAGUCGGGGACCGCAAGGCCUUAUGCUUUUGGAGCGGCCGAUAUCUGAUUAGCUAGUUGGUGAGGUAAAGGCUCACCAAGGCGACGAUCAGUAGCUGGUCUGAGAGGACGAGCAGCCACACUGGAACUGAGACACGGUCCAGACUCCUACGGGAGGCAGCAGUGGGGAAUUUUGGACAAUGGGCGCAAGCCUGAUCCAGCAAUGCCGCGUGAGUGAAGAAGGCCUUCGGGUUGUAAAGCUCUUUUGUCAGGGAAGAAACGGUAGAGGCUAAUAUCCUUUGCUAAUGACGGUACCUGAAGAAUAAGCACCGGCUAACUACGUG
RNAcentral lists this ribosomal RNA (482 nucleotides) under uncultured bacterium. RNAcentral's name for it is "partial 16S ribosomal RNA". It matches the Rfam family "Bacterial small subunit ribosomal RNA", at positions 30 to 507 of the family's 1533-position model. The record is from RNAcentral.